RNAcentral lists this ribosomal RNA (492 nucleotides) under uncultured bacterium. RNAcentral's name for it is "partial 16S ribosomal RNA". It matches the Rfam family "Bacterial small subunit ribosomal RNA", at positions 29 to 507 of the family's 1533-position model. The record is from RNAcentral.
AGUGAACGCUGGCGGUAGGCCUAACACAUGCAAGUCGAACGGCAGCACAGUAAGAGCUUGCUCUUACGGGUGGCGAGUGGCGGACGGGUGAGGAAUACAUCGGAAUCUACUUUUUCGUGGGGGAUAACGUAGGGAAACUUACGCUAAUACCGCAUACGACCUACGGGUGAAAGCAGGGGAUCUUCGGACCUUGCGCGAUUGAAUGAGCCGAUGUCGGAUUAGCUAGUUGGCGGGGUAAAGGCCCACCAAGGCGACGAUCCGUAGCUGGUCUGAGAGGAUGAUCAGCCACGCUGGAACUGAGACACGGUCCAGACUCCUACGGGAGGCAGCAGUGGGGAAUAUUGGACAAUGGGCGCAAGCCGGAUCCAGCCAUACCGCGUGGGUGAAGAAGGCCUUCGGGUUGUAAAGCCCUUUUGUUGGGAAAGAAAAGCAGCAGGUUAAUACCCCGCUGUUCUGACGGUACCCAAAGAAUAAGCACCGGCUAACUUCGUG